RNAcentral lists this ribosomal RNA (549 nucleotides) under uncultured bacterium 1G6. RNAcentral describes it as "bacterial SSU rRNA". It matches the Rfam family "Bacterial small subunit ribosomal RNA", at positions 355 to 896 of the family's 1533-position model. The record is from RNAcentral.
UGGAGAAUUUUGGACAAUGGGCGCAAGCCUGAUCCAGCAAUGCCGCGUGAGUGAAGAAGGCCUUCGGGUUGUAAAGCUCUUUUGUCAGGGAAGAAACGGCUGGGGCUAAUAUCCCCGGCUAAUGACGGUACCUGAAGAAUAAGCACCGGCUAACUACGUGCCAGCAGCCGCGGUAAUACGUAGGGUGCAAGCGUUAAUCGGAAUUACUGGGCGUAAAGCGUGCGCAGGCGGUUUUGUAAGUCUGACGUGAAAGCCCCGGGCUCAACCUGGGAAUUGCGUUGGAGACUGCAAGGCUUGAAUCUGGCAGAGGGGGGUAGAACUCCACGUGUAGCAGUGAAAUGCGUAGAGAUGUGGAGGAACACCGAUGGCGAAGGCAGCCCCCUGGGUCAAGAUUGGCGCUCAUGCACGAAAGCGUGGGGAGCAAACAGGAUUAGAUACCCUGGGUAGUCCACGCCCUAAACGAUGUCUACUAGUUGUCGGGUUUUAAUUAACUUGGUAACGCAGCUAACGCGUGAAGUAGACCGCCUGGGGAGUACGGUCGCAAGAUUA